GGGGCGUCACCCGACUAAAAGAGAGAUUAUAUAAAUACAAAUGUCUGAAUUAGGAAAUCAGAUUAGUGUUUUAAAGAAUCAACAACUUGGUCUUUCGAUCGGAGUACUUUUGUCUUUACUUGCCUUGUACAUAGCUUUGGCAGUAAUAGUGUACAAACCAAGACGACUACCAACUCAAACAGUACCACAAACGACGCUCAAUAUUCAGGAAGAUCGUUAGAGAAAAGAGUACCACAGACGACACUCCAUAUCCAGGAAGAUCGUUAAAGAAACGAGUACUACAUAUGACGCUCAAUAUCCAGGAAGAUCGUUAGAGAAAAGAGUACCACAAACGACGCUCAAUAUCCAGAAAGAUCGUUAGAGAAAAUCGUUUUGAUAAGCUACUUCGAUGUUUAAGUCAGCAAGGAAUCGGGGAUAAAAGUAAGAAUGAAAGGAGUCAAGGACGUAUUUACGGAUAGAUAAGACGCUAUUGUUGCUUAAUGACAUUUUGUGAAACGAUAAAGUUUAUAAAUACAGUUCUGUGCAAUAAACUGUGUACGACGUAAAAACAAGAAACCUUUAUUUAUACAAUGUGCUUAUUUUAAUAAUAAAAUAUGUGUUCAUUC
Long non-coding RNA from Mytilus californianus (California mussel), 605 nucleotides. RefSeq lists it as uncharacterized. Lineage: Eukaryota; Metazoa; Mollusca; Bivalvia; Mytilida; Mytilidae. The transcript has 2 exons. The record is from RefSeq and is a predicted model, not a curated record.